RNAcentral lists this ribosomal RNA (231 nucleotides) under uncultured bacterium. RNAcentral's name for it is "partial 16S ribosomal RNA". It matches the Rfam family "Bacterial small subunit ribosomal RNA", at positions 524 to 754 of the family's 1533-position model. The record is from RNAcentral.
UACGUAGGGUGCAAGCGUUAAUCGGAAUUACUGGGCGUAAAGCGUGCGCAGGCGGCCUUGCAAGACAGAUGUGAAAUCCCCGGGCUCAACCUGGGAACUGCAUUUGUGACUGCAAGGCUAGAGUACGGUAGAGGGGGAUGGAAUUCCGCAUGUAGCAGUGAAAUGCGUAGAUAUGCGGAGGAACACCGAUGGCGAAGGCAAUCCCCUGGACCUGUACUGACGCUCAUGCAC